ACGGAAGGCAGCAGUGGGGAAUAUUGGGCAAUGGGCGAAAGCCUGACCCAGCAACGCCGCGUGAAGGAAGAAGGUCUUCGGAUUGUAAACUUCUUUUAUGAGGGACGAAGGAAGUGACGGUACCUCAUGAAUAAGCCACGGCUAACUACGUGCCAGCAGCCGCGGUAAUACGUAGGUGGCAAGCGUUAUCCGGAUUUACUGGGUGUAAAGGGCGCGUAGGCGGGGAUGCAAGUCAGAUGUGAAAUCCAUGGGCUCAACUCAUGAACUGCAUUUGAAACUGUAUCUCUUGAGUGCUGGAGAGGUAGAUGGAAUUCCUUGUGUAGCGGUGAAAUGCGUAGAUAUAAGGAAGAACACCAGUGGCGAAGGCGACCUACUGGACAGUAACUGACGCUGAGGCGCGAAAGCGUGGGGAGCAAACAGGAUUAGAUACCCUGGUA
Molecule: ribosomal RNA, 437 nt
Filed under: uncultured Oscillospiraceae bacterium
Lineage: Bacteria; Bacillati; Bacillota; Clostridia; Eubacteriales; Oscillospiraceae
Description: partial 16S ribosomal RNA
Rfam family: Bacterial small subunit ribosomal RNA
Source: RNAcentral